CGCUGCUCCAUCCAAAACAAUGGGCCAGUCAUGAGCUGCGACCUCCCAAACGGAGCCACAUAAGCCUUUUCUGAGUGGAUCGUCUCAGGCGAGGUAGAAAAUAAAGUAACAACACCUCAGGAGGUCUCUGAUGCUCUAGGCGCAUGUGUGUUGGAUCUCCCCGCCUGAUCCUCAGUCACCUUCACUCUACCCCAGCCUCAUCAUGGAUUCGUGAAUAUGUACUACGUAUCAUAAUAUAAUGAAGAUCAGAGUGGAUUCUGGGACAAGCAUGUAUGCUGAGAGCUCUUAAGAUGACUCCGAACUCUGUCAGUAAUUCCUGUCACUCACACCUUGAGAGUCAAGGGGAGGCACCAGGCUGAGAGGGAGAAGCAAGCAGACCUUGGUGGGAAUGGGAAGUUGGAAAAGCAAGAGGCAUGGUCAGCGUGAUGGGGCCUGACACGUAAGGUGCUUCCCUGUGGUCACCCUGCUCCUCUGAU
Chinchilla lanigera (long-tailed chinchilla) is the source of this 476-nucleotide long non-coding RNA. RefSeq lists it as uncharacterized. The transcript is spliced from 3 exons. Lineage: Eukaryota; Metazoa; Chordata; Mammalia; Rodentia; Chinchillidae. The record is from RefSeq and is a predicted model, not a curated record.